UUCUAUAAGUAAUAGUUUAUAGUAAAACCUGCUCAAUGUAAUAUAUCAAUAGCCGCAGAUCGCCUGUGCUAAGGUAGCAUAAUCAUUUGCCUCUUAAUUAGAAGAUAGAAUGAAAGGUUAAACAUUUAAUACAUGUCUCUUUAAGCCUUGAAUGAACUUAAAAACAAAGUAAAAACUCUUUCAAAAAACAGCAGGACGAUAAGACCCCGAUAAACUUAAACUAUUAGUUGGGGAAACAUAAUAAUUACUAUUUAUUAAACAAAUCUUAACACAACUAAAACAUUAAACAAAGAUUAGUUACUACGGGGAUAACAGCGCUAUUUCUUUUUAGAGACCUUAUCAAAAAAGAAGCUUACGACCUCGAUGUUGAAUUAGGUAAUCCAGUAUAAAGCAACAUUUUACAGGGAUGGUCUGUUCGACCAAUAAUAAUCU
This 432-nucleotide ribosomal RNA is filed under the name Leptopholcus cf. griswoldi DNA100433834. RNAcentral's name for it is "partial 16S ribosomal RNA". It matches the Rfam family "Archaeal large subunit ribosomal RNA", at positions 1921 to 2666 of the family's 2987-position model. Lineage: Eukaryota; Metazoa; Arthropoda; Arachnida; Araneae; Pholcidae. The record is from RNAcentral.